AGCGGCCGAAGCGCGGGGGUCCCACCUGACCCCAUGCCGAACUCAGAAGUGAAACGCCGUAGCGCCGAUGGUAGUGUGGGGUCUCCCCAUGCGAGAGUAGGGAACUGCCAGGC
RNAcentral lists this ribosomal RNA (113 nucleotides) under Escherichia coli. Lineage: Bacteria; Pseudomonadati; Pseudomonadota; Gammaproteobacteria; Enterobacterales; Enterobacteriaceae. The record is from RNAcentral.